This 496-nucleotide ribosomal RNA is filed under the name uncultured bacterium. Its description in RNAcentral is "partial 16S ribosomal RNA". It matches the Rfam family "Bacterial small subunit ribosomal RNA", at positions 29 to 507 of the family's 1533-position model. The record is from RNAcentral.
AUGAACGCUGGCGGCGUGCCUCAUACAUGCAAGUCGAGCGAACAGACGAGGAGCUUGCUCCUCUGACGUUAGCGGCGGACGGGUGAGUAACACGUGGAUAACCUACCUAUAAGACUGGGAUAACUUCGGGAAACCGGAGCUAAUACCGGAUAACAUGUUGAACCGCAUGGUUCAACAGUGAAAGACGGUUUUGCUGUCACUUAUAGAUGGAUCCGCGUCGCAUUAGCUAGUUGGUAAGGUAACGGCUUACCAAGGCAACGAUGCGUAGCCGACCUGAGAGGGUGAUCGGCCACACUGGAACUGAGACACGGUCCAGACUCCUACGGGAGGCAGCAGUAGGGAAUCUUCCGCAAUGGGCGAAAGCCUGACGGAGCAACGCCGCGUGAGUGAAGAAGGUCUUCGGAUCGUAAAACUCUGUUAUUAGGGAAGAACAAAUGUGUAAGUAACUAUGCACGUCUUGACGGUACCUAAUCAGAAGGCCACGGCUAACUACGUG